CUGCCCUUUGUACACACCGCCCGUCGCUACUACCGAUUGAAUGGCUCAGUGAGGCGUCCGGACUGGCCCAGAGAGGUGGGCAACUACCACUCAGGGCCGGAAAGCUCUCCAAACUCGGUCAUUUAGAGGAAGUAAAAGUCGUAACAAGGUCUCCGUUGGUGAACCAGCGGAGGGAUCAUUACCGAGUUUACAACUCCCAAACCCCUGUGAACAUACCACUUGUUGCCUCGGCGGAUCAGCCCGCUCCCGGUAAAACGGGACGGCCCGCCAGAGGACCCCUAAACUCUGUUUCUAUAUGUAACUUCUGAGUAAAACCAUAAAUAAAUCAAAACUUUCAACAACGGAUCUCUUGGUUCUGGCAUCGAUGAAGAACGCAGCAAAAUGCGAUAAGUAAUGUGAAUUGCAGAAUUCAGUGAAUCAUCGAAUCUUUGAACGCACAUUGCGCCCGCCAGUAUUCUGGCGGGCAUGCCUGUUCGAGCGUCAUUUCAACCCUCAAGCACAGCUUGGUGUUGGGACUCGCGUUAAUUCGCGUUCCUCAAAUUGAUUGGCGGUCACGUCGAGCUUCCAUAGCGUAGUAGUAAAACCCUCGUUACUGGUUUCAUCGCGGCCACGCCGUUAAACCCCAACUUCUGAAUGUUGACCUCGGAUCAGGUAGGAAUACCCGCUGAACUUAAG
RNAcentral lists this ribosomal RNA (675 nucleotides) under Fusarium oxysporum. RNAcentral's name for it is "eukaryotic LSU rRNA". The stretch from base 1 to 181 matches the Rfam family "Eukaryotic small subunit ribosomal RNA", at positions 1653 to 1831 of the family's 1831-position model. The record is from RNAcentral. Lineage: Eukaryota; Fungi; Ascomycota; Sordariomycetes; Hypocreales; Nectriaceae.